Small nucleolar RNA from Vigna umbellata (rice bean), 93 nucleotides. RefSeq annotates it as small nucleolar RNA R64/Z200 family. The record is from RefSeq and is a predicted model, not a curated record. NCBI's taxonomy places the organism in Eukaryota, Viridiplantae, Streptophyta, Magnoliopsida, Fabales, Fabaceae.
GUUCUGCGAUGAUGAUUUACGAAUAAAAUUCACAUGUCAGACUUCAGAGAUUUAAAAAUCAAUGAGAAUGACAAUUCAUUUUCUGAGCGGAUC